AUUGAACGCUGGCGGCAGGCCUAACACAUGCAAGUCGAACGGUAACAGGUAGCAGCUUGCUGCUUUGCUGACGAGUGGCGGACGGGUGAGUAAUGUCUGGGAAACUGCCCGAUGGAGGGGGAUAACUACUGGAAACGGUAGCUAAUACCGCAUAACGUCGCAAGACCAAAGAGGGGGACCUUAGGGCCUCUUGCCAUCGGAUGUGCCCAGAUGGGAUUAGCUAGUAGGUGGGGUAACGGCUCACCUAGGCGACGAUCCCUAGCUGGUCUGAGAGGAUGACCAGCCACACUGGAACUGAGACACGGUCCAGACUCCUACGGGAGGCAGCAGUGGGGAAUAUUGCACAAUGGGCGCAAGCCUGAUGCAGCCAUGCCGCGUGUAUGAAGAAGGCCUUCGGGUUGUAAAGUACUUUCAGCGGGGAGGAAGGGAGUAAAGUUAAUACCUUUGCUCAUUGACGUUACCCGCAGAAGAAGCACCGGCUAACUCCAUG
Molecule: ribosomal RNA, 490 nt
Filed under: uncultured bacterium
Lineage: Bacteria
Description: partial 16S ribosomal RNA
Rfam family: Bacterial small subunit ribosomal RNA
Source: RNAcentral